This 628-nucleotide ribosomal RNA is filed under the name uncultured Candida. RNAcentral describes it as "eukaryotic LSU rRNA". The stretch from base 242 to 396 matches the Rfam family "5.8S ribosomal RNA". Lineage: Eukaryota; Fungi; Ascomycota; Saccharomycetes; Saccharomycetales. The record is from RNAcentral.
AAGUCGUAACAAGGUUUCCGUAGGUGAACCUGCGGAAGGAUCAUUACAGUAAUUAAUUCUUGCCAGCGCUUAACUGCGCGGCGAGAACUAAUCCUUACACACAUUGUUUUUUGUUAUUACAAGAACUAUUGCUUUGGCUUGGCUUCGGCUGGGCCAGAGACAUACCUAAACUUCAAUUUUAUUGAAUUGUUAUUUUUAAUGUUUCGUCAAUUUGUUUGAUUAAUUUCAAAAUAAUCUUCAAAACUUUCAACAACGGAUCUCUUGGUUCUCGCAUCGAUGAAGAACGCAGCGAAAUGCGAUAAGUAAUAUGAAUUGCAGAUUUUCGUGAAUCAUCGAAUCUUUGAACGCACAUUGCGCCCUCUGGUAUUCCGGGGGGGCAUGCCUGUUUGAGCGUCAUUUCUCUCUCACACCUUCGGGUAUGGUAUUGAGUGGUACUCUUAGUCAGACUAGGCGUUUGCUUGAAAUGUAUCGGCAUGAGUGCGCUAGAUAGUACGUUCUGAUUAUUCAAUGUAUUAGGUUUAUCCAACUCGUUGAACGGUCAGGUGUAUAUUUCUGGUUGCUUUGGCUCGGCCUUACAACAACAAACAAGUUUGACCUCAAAUCAGGUAGGAUUACCCGCUGAACUUAA